This 230-nucleotide ribosomal RNA is filed under the name uncultured bacterium. Its description in RNAcentral is "partial 16S ribosomal RNA". It matches the Rfam family "Bacterial small subunit ribosomal RNA", at positions 567 to 791 of the family's 1533-position model. The record is from RNAcentral.
CGCGCGUAGGUGGUUUGUUAAGUUGGAUGUGAAAGACCCGGGCUUCAACCUGGGAACUGCAUCCAAAACUGGCAAGCUAGAGUAUGGUAGAGGGUGGUGGAAUUUCCUGUGUAGCGGUAGAAAUGCGUAGAUAUAGGAAGGAACACCAGUGGCGAAGGCGACCACCUGGACUGAUAACUGACACUGAGGUGCGAAAGCGUGGGGGAGCAAACAGGAUUAGAUACCCUUGU